RNAcentral lists this transfer RNA (66 nucleotides) under Plaxiphora albida. RNAcentral describes it as "tRNA-Leu". The record is from RNAcentral. Lineage: Eukaryota; Metazoa; Mollusca; Polyplacophora; Chitonida; Mopaliidae.
AUUAAGUUAGCAAAAUAAGUGCGAGUAAUUUAGAAUUACUAGAUAAGAUAGAGUUUCUUACUUGAU